This 43-nucleotide ribosomal RNA is filed under the name Phytophthora sojae. Its description in RNAcentral is "partial 28S ribosomal RNA". RNAcentral also lists the same sequence under 1 other name. The record is from RNAcentral. Lineage: Eukaryota; Oomycota; Peronosporomycetes; Peronosporales; Peronosporaceae.
UUGGACCUGAUAUCAGGCAAGAUUACCCGCUGAACUUAAGCAU